CUCAACUUUUGAGAAAAAUCUAUUCUUCAACUUUCCGAUUUACCAACAUCUUAUGUGGUCAAAUAGAUCCCGUCUGCGACCAUUCAAUCAUUUUCUUCUCCCGAGUCCUAUGUAUGCCACGGUGCAGUAAAAAAUUACGACCUCAAUCCGUCAACUCUUGCGGAGCACACUUCCCUAUAGAACUCUAAUUUUGCCCAAUCUAAUUAUUACAGAUUAGACAAGUAGGAAUAAGCAGAUCCCAAUAAAUAUCGAAAACUGAAUAAUAAAUAAUUGCUUAAAUUACACCCACAAAAAUUACAUCACAUUAUCUCAAAAACAUCCAGAUACAUCCAUAAUCACAUCACAGAGAUCUAGUCGAGUUCAUGAUCAUCUCCUAUGUAAUUAAUUAUACAAAAACUGCAACCGAUCUGUCUCGGAUCUCGAUUAAAUUUUUCGGAACUACACAAUAUGCUAUCUCGCAUUUUUACAUGACAAUAUUGUUGUAAUAAAACAACAAAUCAUAGUACAUGCAAAAUGACAAAAUGAGAACUAUCUAAUCGUAGAAAGAAUCCGAAAAAUUUGAUUGAACCGUACUGAUCUUUAAUAUUUUACAUAGAAAAUAAGAAUCGGCUCUGAUACCACUGUAAGAAAUUAAUCGGCACAUCAGAAAAACGCAGCGGAAAAUAAUUUUGCACUUUAAUUUUUCGGAAGCCAAAUGCAUAUCACAUAUGAAAACUAAAAACCAAUAAAUCAAACCGUUAUCGGCAGAUCAUUCUCAUGUUACUGUGUAAAAAUUUAAUCUAAACAAAACUCUUUAUGUUUAGAGAUCUUACCGUGCACCAGUUAAGGUCUCUUGAUCUGCUGUACGGUUGAAACUGAAUAUGACGAACAGAGGUUCCGAUUAGCUGCGAACAUGCUCGGCCUCUACGCGUAUCCACACGGAAUCGACGACCCAAUUGAUUUUCAUCUCACGAACC
Molecule: long non-coding RNA, 956 nt
Filed under: Ananas comosus (pineapple)
Lineage: Eukaryota; Viridiplantae; Streptophyta; Magnoliopsida; Poales; Bromeliaceae
Description: long non-coding RNA (ACOM_LNC002221)
Source: RNAcentral